GGGACUGCAGUAGGGAUCGUAAGAAUAGAUCGGCGGGGGGACCGAAGGGGGCGGAGGAGGAGGGUAGGACGACGACGGCGGUGGAAGGUAGUGGAAGGAGCCGGAGUGGUUGAAUUGCGGUUGCGGGUCUUGUGGGGACGGGAAGGAGUUGGAAGGGUAGAGAUAAGGCGGUGGAGGUUGGUACGGGCUUUGGUAUGGGUUGGGGACGGGAGGAGGUGGAGAAGGAUGAUUUGGGUAGCCGUACGGAGAGUAAGGAUACGGAUUAUCCAUCGACUUCUUCUUCCUCUGCUUCUCCC
RNAcentral lists this long non-coding RNA (296 nucleotides) under Musa acuminata (dwarf banana). RNAcentral describes it as "long non-coding RNA (MACU_LNC004435)". Lineage: Eukaryota; Viridiplantae; Streptophyta; Magnoliopsida; Zingiberales; Musaceae. The record is from RNAcentral.